RNAcentral lists this ribosomal RNA (154 nucleotides) under Armillaria cepistipes. Its description in RNAcentral is "partial large subunit ribosomal RNA". It matches the Rfam family "Eukaryotic large subunit ribosomal RNA", at positions 1 to 153 of the family's 3401-position model. The record is from RNAcentral. Lineage: Eukaryota; Fungi; Basidiomycota; Agaricomycetes; Agaricales; Physalacriaceae. RNAcentral also lists the same sequence under 3 other names.
UUGACCUCAAAUCAGGUAGGACUACCCGCUGAACUUAAGCAUAUCAAUAAGCGGAGGAAAAGAAACUAACAAGGAUUCCCCUAGUAACUGCGAGUGAAGAGGGAAAAGCUCAAAUUUAAAAUCUGGCAGCUUCGCUGUCCGAGUUGUAAUUAGA